CUGGUGCCAGCAGCCGCGGUAAUUCCAGCUCCAAAAGCGUAUAUUAAAGUUGUUGCAGUUAAAAAGCUCGUAGUUGAACCUUGGGCUUGGUUAGCCGGUCCACCUUUUUGGUGUGUACUGGACCUAACCGAGCCUUUCCUUCUGGCUAACCUUCAUCCUUUUGGGUGUUGGCGAACCAGGACUUUUACUUUGAAAAAAUUAGAGUGUUCAAAGCAGGCCUUUGCUCGAAUAUAUUAGCAUGGAAUAAUAGAAUAGGACGUUAUGGUUCUAUUUUGUUGGUUUCUAGGACCAUCGUAAUGAUUAAUAGGGACGGUCGGGGGUAUCAGUAUUCAGUUGUCAGAGGUGAAAUUCUUGGAUUUACUGAAGACUAACUACUGCGAAAGCAUUUACCAAGGACGUUUUCAUUAAUCAAGAACGAAAGUUAGGGGAUCGAAGAUGAUCAGAUACCGUCGUAGUCUUAACCAUAAACUAUGCCGACUAGGGAUCGGGUGUUGUUCUUUUUUUGACGCACUCGGCACCUUACGAGAAAUCAAAGUCUUUGGGUUCUGGGGGGAG
This 555-nucleotide ribosomal RNA is filed under the name bacterium LO352. RNAcentral's name for it is "SSU rRNA". It matches the Rfam family "Eukaryotic small subunit ribosomal RNA", at positions 561 to 1123 of the family's 1831-position model. The record is from RNAcentral.